AGAGAACAUUUUCGAAUGCUGAGCCAGUUUGACUGAAAGAAAAGACAGAAACAAGAUUUGGGGGCAGAAUGCAAGUUGGUUUCAAAGGUCUUGGGUGUAAGAAGGUGACAACUUGCAAUUAACUGUGAUCAGACUGUGUGACUGUAGAUUAGUGUUUUCCUCCUGGUCCAUGUGGGAAAUCAAGCCCAGUAUCAACAUCUAAUGUCACAAGUGUUUUUGAGUUACUGUGAAGAUGAUAUCAGAAUUGGGGUUCAGUUCACCUUCUUGCAUGUCUAACUUUAUGGAAUAAUUAGGCCAUGGGAUGUAUAGAAUCUAGUCCAUAUGUAAAUAUGUGAGCACUUAUUCUAUAUGGGAAUAAAUUUUGCUUACUAUCUUGAGUUGAAUUAUUUCUUACAUGAAUAAUGUUUUUCCGCAGGACUUUGACAGGUACAAAGAUAAGCAGCAUACCUAAUAAUUUGUGUCAAGAACAAAAGAUGCUUAGGACUUUGGACUUGUCUUACAAUAAUAUAAGAGACCUUCCAAGUUUUAAUGGUUGCCAUGCUCUGGAAGAAAU
RNAcentral lists this long non-coding RNA (553 nucleotides) under Homo sapiens (human). RNAcentral describes it as "non-protein coding lnc-CCDC34-4:1". The record is from RNAcentral. Lineage: Eukaryota; Metazoa; Chordata; Mammalia; Primates; Hominidae.